UACGUAGGGUGCGAGCGUUAAUCGGAAUUACUGGGCGUAAAGCGUGCGCAGGCGGUUGUGCAAGACAGAUGGGAAAUCCCCGGGCUUAACCUGGGAACUGCAUUUGUGACUGCACAGCUGGAGUGCGGCAGAGGGGGAUGGAAUUCCGCGUGUAGCAGUGAAAUGCGUAGAUAUGCGGAGGAACACCGAUGGCGAAGGCAAUCCCUGGGCCUGCACUGACGCUCAUGCACGAAAGCGUGGGGAGCAAACAGG
This 252-nucleotide ribosomal RNA is filed under the name uncultured bacterium. RNAcentral describes it as "partial 16S ribosomal RNA". It matches the Rfam family "Bacterial small subunit ribosomal RNA", at positions 524 to 776 of the family's 1533-position model. The record is from RNAcentral.